Molecule: ribosomal RNA, 253 nt
Filed under: uncultured bacterium
Lineage: Bacteria
Description: partial 16S ribosomal RNA
Rfam family: Bacterial small subunit ribosomal RNA
Source: RNAcentral
UACGGAGGGUGCAAGCGUUAUCCGGAUUCACUGGGUUUAAAGGGUGCGUAGGCGGGUAGAUAAGUCCGUGGUGAAAUCCUGCAGCUUAACUGCAGAACUGCCGUGGAUACUAUUUAUCUUGAAUGUUGUUGAGGUGAGUGGAAUAUGUCAUGUAGCGGUGAAAUGCUUAGAGAUGACAUGGAACACCGAUUGCGAAGGCAGCUCGCUAAACAAAUAUUGACGCUGAGGCACGAAAGCGUGGGUAGCAAACAGG